Molecule: long non-coding RNA, 5400 nt
Filed under: Triticum aestivum (bread wheat)
Lineage: Eukaryota; Viridiplantae; Streptophyta; Magnoliopsida; Poales; Poaceae
Description: long non-coding RNA (TAES_LNC003993)
Source: RNAcentral
GAUGAUAUUAGCCUCAUUGCUGAUGAGUAUGUGAAGUAACCCCUCUUUGUUGUACAGCCGAGAGAGCUCCAGACUUCCUUUUUCCUUUUUUUACCUUUAACUGUACUCACUCCGUGGAACAGCAGGGAUUCUGUUCUUCACUUCAAAAAUGAAAAUUGUGUCUUCCAGUGAGAAGUCUCCAGGUUUGUUACAGUGUAAAGUUAUGUAGCAGAAAUCUUAACUCAUCUAUUAUUUAUGCUGACAGUAAAAUCAGCAUAGUUACAUAAUACCGAAGUGCAUCCUUAGAACAAAAAUAACAGAGAAAUCUUAAUGCCUAUAAAAAUGGAAAAUGACACCAUUGAAUAGACAAACUAAUAUAUAUUAUUUGGAAAUGUGUAUUUAUAUGGUCAUAGAAUAAUAAUUAAUUCAGAGUAGUAAAUAGAUGCCAGAGGAUCCUAAUUCUACAGUCUGUACUCCAAAUACCAACAAUGGCUUUUUCAUCAAAGUUGUAACAUAAUAAGGUAAUGAGGUAGCAUGAGAGUACGAUUAAUUCAGAGCAAUAUGAAUGGAAUAAUCCCUGAAGACAAUCAUUAGUACAGAGCACAUAUGAUGAACAUUAAUUCAGAGCUAACCUUCCAGAAUACGACCCUGUUCCAUCUCAUGCAGUACCUUCUUUGUUGCAGUUAUGUGACGCUGUAGUUUCUUCUUUUCGUUCUAAUCCUAUAACGUAAAAUAUACAGAGAGGAAAUAUUACCAGUCAGUACUAAUUUAGUGUAACGAAAGUUGCAAAAGGGGUAAAAUGCUUCCAUGGCAGAAUCUGAAACAAUCAUGUUAACUACUACCACUGUCCUAAAUAUAAGACGUUUUACAUUCACAAUAUUUUGAAUCCCUAAAUCAAUCCAUGAUAUUGUAGAGGUUUCUAACUAUAACCACCUUAGCUCUAUAAGGUUAACAUUAUGUGUGAUGAGAAAGAGUUGUAGUGGCAAGUAACAGAAUUAAAUUAAUUUUUGUGCCACCGUAAAACUGGAGUGAUGUCAAUCAAGUCAACAACCUAUACAACGCAAUCUAUGCAACAGAAAUGUCUUAUUUCUAAGGACUAGUGUCAAAUUGAUUUGCGGAAAAAACUUGGAUUUACAAUCUGCAACCCUAUGUUUGUCCCAUUUAUCCCAAAACUUCAAGCCAUGUCUGUGUGUAAUAGCUCGUACACUAAUGCAACAGGUACCAUAGGAUUAAGAAAUGAGGUCAGAUCAUAUAUUCUUUCUAUUUGUAUAAGACUACAAAUUUUUGAACUUCACGCAGUCAGUGAUAUUAUACUUGUAACAUAAGUAUUCCAUCCGUUCGGAAAUAACUGAUGCAGUUUGAGGUCAAAACUACGACCAUUAUUUCCGAACGGAAGGAGUAUUCCAUUACCAUUCACCUAGCACAAAUUACAAUUCAAUUAGCAACAAAUAUUUCUGCCCAUCAUAGUCCUUGGCCAGGGUGAGGGGACCUUGAAUCCUAGAAAUUUGUAGAGGAUGCAUCAUCUUGAGCAAUCUAUCACAACUCACAAAAUCACCCAAGAGGCGGGUACAGACUAUGUUAACCAUUUACUUGUACAUAAUAUGUUAACUUAAACCAUGUCGGGCGAGGGUGUUUACGAAUGAACCCAAGCAAAAUAUUCCAUGCCAUUCUUUACGGAAUUUAGAUGAAAAUAGUGUAUUAGCAAGCAUGUGCUCCUAAAAAGAAGCCAUAUCUAGCAGCUCCUAAAAAGAUUUCAUAGACAUAAAAAUUUGUAUAGGAGGGGCAAUUCGUGCACACUGCAAAGAAAAUUUUGCAUAUCAAUUUGACCUUGCAAAUACUUGCAAUUAGACCUUCUAAUAAAUAAGGUAUGCAACGAAUAGGAAAAAAAAGGAUAUCAAAAACAUGCAUCCAGAAUAAAAAGAGAAGAUAACAAAUAGCACAACCUGUACUUUGGAUGUAUCCUCGGAUGGUAAAACUGUUACCAAUACAGUGCUGAAAAACGAAAAGGAUGGUCUUAUUAGCUGACAGGAACACAAACCAGAAUUUAGUAAACCAACAUCACAUUACUUCAUCCCAAGAACACAUAGGAAAUAAGUUGUUUGGAGGUACCAAUUGGAUGGGUUCAUCGUCAUUGAUAGAGCGGUUCACCUUCUCAUAGAGCUUGAACAACGUCCAUCUCAUUCCUUGAGACUUAAUUUAAUUUUAGAAAAAGAAACCUGAAUCAAACAACCCAAACAGUGGUAAGAAUAAACUGGGAGGAGGAGCUCGCAUGAAGAGGUGCAAGCUGAGAGAGGAUAUCAUGAUGGGAGGCGCAGGCCUUCGAUUACCUUCACAGGAGUAGGGUAGAAGACUUCUGUCAUCAGUGGCUGAUCUCAACCUGGACAAAUUAUCAACCAUCCACCAUUUAAGAUUCAACCUCGUGUCAAAAAAUGCUUGGAUAAUAGUCUGGUGGUUAGGAAAUUUUUAACGGAAAUUGCUUUGAUAUUAGUCCAAGUACAAGGAUGGCAAAAUACAUUUUGUUUAAUCAAAUUCUUUCUAAUAUAAAACAUGUUCACUUCAAUUAUUUUGGCAGCUCCAUCUAGCUAUAGGAAACGUUGCAAGAACCUUAUGGCAAACAGUACAUGCAUCUCAUGAUCACUCAUAAGAGCGAACAUCUUAAUGGCACUUAUAAUCCCCAAGACUCAUAAUAUCAAAAGAUAACCGAUACAAAAUGAGAUGCAAGAAUGGCAUCAUUAUGAAUCCAAUUUCAGAUGAGAAACAAUGAAAAAGAACUCCCAGGAAAAUAUUUCUGAUAAGUAAUAAGGAGCAUGUACAUUUGUGAUAACCCACAAGUAUAGGGGAUCGCAACAGUUUUCGAGGGUAGAGUAUUCAACCCAAAUUUAUUGAUUCGACACAAGGGGAGCCAAAGAAUAUUCUCAAGUAUUAGCAGUUGAAUUGUCAAUUCAACCACACCUGGAUAACUUAAUAUCUGCAGCAAAGUAUUUAGUAACAAAGUAGUAUGAUAGUAACGGUAACGGUAGCAAAAGUAAUAUUUUUGGGUUUUGUAGUGAUUGUAACAGUAGCAACGGAAAAGUAAAUAAGCGAAGAACAAUGUGUGAAAAGCUCGUAGGCAUUGGAUCGGUGAUGGAGAAUUAUGUCGGAUGCGGUUCAUCAUGUAACAAUCAUAACAUAGGGUGACACAGAACUAGCUCCAAUUCAUCAAUGUAAUGUAGGCAUGUAUUCCGAAUAUAGUCAUACGUGCUUAUGGAAAAGAACUUGCAUGACAUCUUUUGUCCUACCCUCCCGUGGCAGCGGGGUCCUAGCGGAAACUAAGGGAUAUUAAGGCCUCCUUUUAAUAGAGUACUGGACCAAAGCAUUAACACAUAGUGAAUACAUGAACUCCUCAAACUACGGUCAUCACCGGGAGUGGUCCCGAUUAUUGUCACUUCGGGGUUGCCAGAUCAUAACACAUAGUAGGUGACUAUAGACUUGCAAGAUAGGAUCAAGAACUCACAUAUAUUCAUGAAAACAUAAUAGGUUCAGAUCUGAAAUCAUGGCACUCGGGCCCUGGUCACAAGCAUUUGCAAAGUUAUAGCAACAUCAAUCUCAGAACAUAGUGGAUACUAGGGAUCAAACCCUAACAAAACUAACUCGAUUACAUGAUAAAUCUCAUCCAACCCAUCACCGUCCAGCAAGCCUAUGAUGGAAUUACUCACGCACGCCGGUGAGCAUCAUGAAAUUGGUGAUGGAGGAUGGUUGAUGAUGACAAUGGCGACGAAUUCCCCUCUCCGGAGCCCCGAACGGACUCCAGAUCAGCCCUCCCGAGAGAGUUUAGGGCUUGGCGGCGGCUCCGUAUCGUAAAACGCGAUGAAUCUUUCUCUUUGAUUUUUUUCUCCCCGAACACGAAUAUAUGGAGUUGGACUUGAGGUCGGUGGAGCUCCAGGGGCCCACGAGGCAGGGAGGCGCGCCCCCCACCCUCGUGCAAAGGGUGUGGGCCCCCUGGCCUUGAUUCUUUCGCCAGUAUUUUUUAUUAUUUCCAAAAAUAAUCUCCGUGAAGUUUCAGGUCAUUCCGAGAACUUUUGUUUCUGCACAAAAAUAACACCAUGGCAAUUCUGCUGAAAACAGCGUCAGUCCGGGUUAGUUCCAUUCAAAUCGUGCAAGUUAGAGUCCAAAACAAGGGCAAAAGUGUUUGGAAAAGUAGAUACGACGGAGACGUAUCAAUUUGCCUUUUGCCUCAGUGUCUCUCCCUAUCCCGACAGAACUCUCAGGAUCUACUACACACUGAUAAACCCAUGUUUAAUCACGUAAGCCAUAAGGUAUAGAAACAUAAACAGAUGGAUAUUGGACUUAUUCAGCAUGCCGACCAAACCUUAAUAAACACUACAUUAACACAUGCCAUGUUGUAGCAGAGGCAUUAUACCAGACAUGCAAGCACGACACCAACUGCGACCAAUGCAUCAUUUAAAUAGUAACCUGCCGGACCACCACAACAAGAGAGAAGAUCAGAAACCACCUGAAUCCAUGGUCGACAACAACACUGCUCCUCCACUUUAGUGUGCUCCAACCACUGGCCACACACACUGCUAACCAAACCCCGCAACCUGGUCAAUCUAGCGGGAUUGGCCAUGCCCGAGGAGGUCGUGGAUGAUGCAAUAGGCUCUGCUCUAACGCCCCACCUUCUCCAACUCCACCCUCAUAAGAAUUGAAUGCUAGAAGAAAUCGGUCAGUUCAAACUUGAGUCCCUCCAAAAAUGGUUGCAUGCUAGAAGAUGCAGUUAUAGGAUAUCAGACCUUGAAAGGCAUGCCAACCACAAGCUUCACAACAAGAGACCUAUAAAGGAGCCCAGGAGCCUGGCAAAUAAAAGAGGCUUUCAUCAUUAUAGAACACAUUGAGCAAGACACGAAAGCUACACAUCUUUGCUGUAGUUAUUUUAUCAAACCAAGUAACAAAGCAGCAUUCUCUUGCUAAAUGCAUGAAAACUAAGAAGCUGUUGAAAGUCAUCCAUGUUUAGAUUAGAGAAUAGCUACAUUGAGAUAUAUUUUAGUGGGGUCAAAUAAGAAAAAUAUCAAUGCAAGUCACAAAAAAGGGUAUUAGCACAUGCUUCUCACCAAUAUCAACAUAGAUGUGGUUGCCCAUGCCAAGAAACAACAUGGAUGUGGUUGUCUCAAUUGAACUUAGGCACAAGCUUCUCACCAAUCUCAGCAUAGAUGUUAGACCUUCCAAGAAACAACAAACAUCAAUUACCAAGCAGAAAAGGCAGGAGAAAAUUACAAACAACAUAGGGCACGGGGUCUAGAGAAGCCAUGUACCUGCACAUCCAAAAGGACCAUGUCAGUGUGUUUGAUAGGACCAUUAUCAGUGGAUCCACAAUGCUGCUACAGACGCGAAACAUACACACGGAUGGUCAGGUUCUUGUUCCCCACAAGAAGAGCCUGCAGAUCA